RNAcentral lists this transfer RNA (59 nucleotides) under Tenebrionoidea sp. 7 KM-2017. RNAcentral describes it as "tRNA-Ser". The record is from RNAcentral. Lineage: Eukaryota; Metazoa; Arthropoda; Insecta; Coleoptera.
GAAAUAUCUAAAAAGUAAGCUUCUAACUUAACUAUAAAGCACUCAGUGUUUAUAUUUCU